This 315-nucleotide ribosomal RNA is filed under the name uncultured eukaryote. Its description in RNAcentral is "partial 18S ribosomal RNA". It matches the Rfam family "Eukaryotic small subunit ribosomal RNA", at positions 1470 to 1796 of the family's 1831-position model. The record is from RNAcentral.
CCCUUAGACGUUCUGGGCCGCACACGCGCUACACUGACCAGUGCAACAAGCAUCCGUCCUUGGCCGACAGGCUCGGGCAAUCUUUGAACGCUGGUCGUGAUGGGGAUAGACUUUUGCAAUUUUUGGUCUUCAACGAGGAAUUCCUAGUAAACGCAAGUCAUCAACUUGCAUUGAUUACGUCCCUGCCCUUUGUACACACCGCCCGUCGCACCUACCGAUUGAAUGGUCCGGUGAAGCCUCCGGAUUGGCGCGCACCUCGGUGCCGCCGAGAAGUUGGCUAAACCUUACCAUUUAGAGGAAGGUGAAGUCGUAACA